GAUGAACGCUAGCUACAGGCUUAACACAUGCAAGUCGAGGGGCAGCAGGGAGAAAGCUUGCUUUCUUUGCUGGCGACCGGCGCACGGGUGAGUAACGCGUAUCCAACCUUCCCCCUAGUAGGGGAUAGCCCGGCGAAAGUCGGAUUAAUACCCUAUGUUCUUCGCAUGAGGCAUCGAAAGCGAAGCAAAGGAUUUCCGCUAAGGGAUGGGGAUGCGUCUGAUUAGGUUGUUGGCGGGGUAACGGCCCACCAAGCCCGCGAUCAGUAGGGGUUCUGAGAGGAAGGUCCCCCACAUUGGAACUGAGACACGGUCCAAACUCC
RNAcentral lists this ribosomal RNA (320 nucleotides) under uncultured Prevotella sp. RNAcentral describes it as "bacterial SSU rRNA". It matches the Rfam family "Bacterial small subunit ribosomal RNA", at positions 28 to 339 of the family's 1533-position model. Lineage: Bacteria; Pseudomonadati; Bacteroidota; Bacteroidia; Bacteroidales; Prevotellaceae. The record is from RNAcentral.